AGACGGAAAAGUGUUGUUGUUAUGCGGCUGAUGAAGUGAUUGGCUUUAGGGAGAUGGAAAUGUCAAGUAGAGGCAUGACAUCUGAUUGAUUCAGUUUUGUAUGUGAAUGUCGUUAGGAAUCUUAGGUUUGGUUAUUUUUAUAUAUUCUUGCAUUGCUCUGAGCUCGACUUCACAAUAUAAACUUUAUAUGUUGUUCAAAAGUUUUUACUUAGAAGAGAAGUUGUUCUUA
This 229-nucleotide long non-coding RNA is filed under the name Brassica napus (rape). RNAcentral's name for it is "long non-coding RNA (BNAP_LNC018334)". Lineage: Eukaryota; Viridiplantae; Streptophyta; Magnoliopsida; Brassicales; Brassicaceae. The record is from RNAcentral.